CGCCGACGUGUAGAUAUAUUAUACCAGCUAAAAUACGCAUCACGAUGAUAUCAGUGACGGUGGCGAAUCGUACCUUGUUAUAAUUUUUAAUAUGUAAAAUAUCGUGUUCGCAAUCCACCGGGAGACGGCCGUGUUUUCGAAAUGUAAACGCCAAACAUACGUACAUAGAGUGGGUUUGUUCAAAAUCCGAAGAGAGAGGUACGAUACCGACUAAAAUUUAACUAUAAAAAGAUUUCAAAAAAUCAGAAGGAAAAAUAGCUAUUGACAAGGACAAACAGUAGUGUAUGUAUAAAUUUAACAUGACCCCUAAAAGUUGGGAACGUUUAAAGUUGAAAAUCAAGUUCUAAAUAUAAUGAAUUUCACAAUAAGGAAGAACAUGUGCAAUGAGCAUUUAUCACAUAACAUUAGGUAACAAAUCAUUGCUUUUAAGUAUUUUAACAGAAAUUGACAAGCAUAAUUAAAUGAUAAAAUCUUAGGUAAUCCUAAUAGACUAGCGUAGGAGACUUUAAGACCUGACACUAUAAUAAAUUCAUCUGUCCAAAGCCAACAGUUAUGGUGAUUUUUUCAUUUUAAGCUCAAGGAAUAAGAGAUGCUCAAAUUUAUAAAUUUAACAUCAGGAUAAAUAAUAUUGCCCUGACAUUCUUUUAAUAAAAGAAGGGACAAAAAUAUUAUGCAUAACCAUGGUAUGUCAUGUAUUCUUCAAUAUAUGCUACAGAAUUCUAUUCGUUAGGUGCACAUAACUACCUAUGUGGUAGUUCUAAAAGGACACUACACUCGCAUGAGUUGUCUCAGUCUUACAAAUAUAAAACAUAAGCAAAAACUGUUUUGUGUGGGAUAGAACCACUCAGGUUGUAGUGACAAUUAAGACUCCAAAUUGAUAUACAAUUUAGUUGAGAACAUUAUCAUUUUUAUUUUUUUGAUAACAGCUAGUUCUUUUUUAUAUGUAGUUAAAAUUUUGUUUCUUAAUUAUGACUGUAACUCUCUUAGUUCUUUCCUGCGAAAAACAGUAUUUUACUAUGUUUUACAUUUGUAAGACGGACACAUGCAGAUGUAAUAUCUUAUUAAAAACCCAAACGCAUAAACUAUAGGAGUAUGACGAUGAGUACCUUUAUCACUUCUAUAUCAGAAUUUUGUUAUUUGGACAUAGAAAUAUUUUCAAUCAAAAAAACACUGAAAUAUUUUAAAUGUAAACAUUUAAAAGAAUUUUGUGACUAAUUUAUUAUACCUCAAGUUACUGAACAUCUUCAUAUACAGUUGCUUGUAACUGGAUUACUAUAUAUAUAUAUA
Long non-coding RNA from Rhopalosiphum maidis (corn leaf aphid), 1287 nucleotides. RefSeq lists it as uncharacterized. NCBI's taxonomy places the organism in Eukaryota, Metazoa, Arthropoda, Insecta, Hemiptera, Aphididae. The record is from RefSeq and is a predicted model, not a curated record. The transcript is spliced from 3 exons.